Molecule: ribosomal RNA, 492 nt
Filed under: uncultured bacterium
Lineage: Bacteria
Description: partial 16S ribosomal RNA
Rfam family: Bacterial small subunit ribosomal RNA
Source: RNAcentral
AGUGAACGCUGGCGGUAGGCCUAACACAUGCAAGUCGAACGGCAGCACAGUAAGAGCUUGCUCUUACGGGUGGCGAGUGGCGGACGGGUGAGGAAUACAUCGGAAUCUACUUUUUCGUGGGGGCUAACGUAGGGAAACUUACGCUAAUACCGCAUACGACCUACGGGUGAAAGCAGGGGAUCUUCGGACCUUGCGCGAUUGAAUGAGCCGAUGUCGGAUUAGCUAGUUGGCGGGGUAAAGGCCCACCAAGGCGACGAUCCGUAGCUGGUCUGAGAGGAUGAUCAGCCACACUGGAACUGAGACACGGUCCAGACUCCUACGGGAGGCAGCAGUGGGGAAUAUUGGACAAUGGGCGCAAGCCUGAUCCAGCCAUACCGCGUGUGUGAAGAAGGCCUUCGGGUUGUAAAGCCCUUUUGUUUGGAAAGAAAAGCAGCAGGUUAAUACCCCGCUGUUCUGACGGUACCCAAAGAAUAAGCACCGGCUAACCUCGUG